RNAcentral lists this ribosomal RNA (490 nucleotides) under uncultured bacterium. RNAcentral describes it as "partial 16S ribosomal RNA". It matches the Rfam family "Bacterial small subunit ribosomal RNA", at positions 30 to 507 of the family's 1533-position model. The record is from RNAcentral.
AUUGAACGCUGGCGGCAGGCCUAACACAUGCAAGUCGAAUGGUAACAGGAAACAGCUUGCUGUUUCGCUGACGAGUGGCGGACGGGUGAGUAAUGUCUGGGAAACUGCCUGAUGGAGGGGGAUAACUACUGGAAACGGUAGCUAAUACCGCAUAACGUCGCAAGACCAAAGAGGGGGACCUUCGGGCCUCUUGCCAUCAGAUGUGCCCAGAUGGGAUUAGCUAGUAGGUGGGGUAACGGCUCACCUAGGCGACGAUCCCUAGCUGGUCUGAGAGGAUGACCAGCCACACUGGAACUGAGACACGGUCCAGACUCCUACGGGAGGCAGCAGUGGGGAAUAUUGCACAAUGGGCGCAAGCCUGAUGCAGCCAUGCCGCGUGUAUGAAGAAGGCCUUCGGGUUGUAAAGUACUUUCAGCGGGGAGGAAGGGAGUAAAGUUAAUACCUUUGCUCAUUAACGUUACCCGCAGAAGAAGCACCGGCUAACUCCGUG